CUACACCUACGGGAGGCAGCAGUGGGGAAUAUUGCACAAUGGGGGGAACCCUGAUGCAGCGACGCCGCGUGAGUGAAGAAGAAUUUCGGUAUGUAAAGCUCUAUCAGCAGGGAAGAAAAUGACGGUACCUGACUAAGAAGCCCCGGCUAACUACGUGCCAGCAGCCGCGGUAAUACGUAGGGGGCAAGCGUUAUCCGGAUUUACUGGGUGUAAAGGGAGCGUAGACGGUAGAGCAAGUCUGAAGUGAAAGCCCGCG
This 256-nucleotide ribosomal RNA is filed under the name uncultured bacterium. RNAcentral describes it as "partial 16S ribosomal RNA". It matches the Rfam family "Bacterial small subunit ribosomal RNA", at positions 333 to 606 of the family's 1533-position model. The record is from RNAcentral.